AUUAAGGAUAAUUUGGUCUUAACA
This 24-nucleotide small nuclear RNA is filed under the name Arabidopsis thaliana (thale cress). Its description in RNAcentral is "snRNA_01834". The record is from RNAcentral. Lineage: Eukaryota; Viridiplantae; Streptophyta; Magnoliopsida; Brassicales; Brassicaceae.